Molecule: ribosomal RNA, 29 nt
Filed under: Pilobolus crystallinus
Lineage: Eukaryota; Fungi; Mucoromycota; Mucoromycetes; Mucorales; Pilobolaceae
Description: partial 28S ribosomal RNA
Source: RNAcentral
UCUGAAAUCAAGUGGGAUUACCCGCUGAA